CUGGAUCCAAACCUUCACCUCGUGGCUUCCCAGCUGUGGGAAGCAGGAAGCCUCUCGGGGUCUCCCUUCCUGCUUCUCCAGGGGGACAGGAAUCCUAAUCCCAUCUCAGGGGUUGUCGGGAGUCAAGGAAACGUACAUACAUGCCUGGCACAUAGUAGAUGACCAAACAAAUGUCAGCUGUGUACCCCACAGGCUGUGCCUAGAUGCCACUGGGGGCAGUUCUGGAAUGGCCCUAACCCCCAGUUUGUCGUGGGAAGAUGGAAUUCUAGCACCCAGGUGAUGCGGGUCUCCUACUUUUCACUGGGAACUGAAUUUCACUUGAACUGAAAAGUUGAAGCGCAAAAGCUGCUAUGGUAGCCGCCCAAGAUGACAUUUGUGAUUCAAAAAACAAAAUCCAGGAACACACCGAGGCAGGAAGAAAGCAUUCUGCUUUUGAUUUACGGGCUUCUCUUUCCAGGCCAACGUGAGCGGCUUCCCAGGACAUGGAAACUGGCAGGCCACUCCCGUCUGGGGACCCGCUGACAGUGCAACGCAGGGCUCUGGGCUGCUCCCUGCAAAAGCCACGCCUAAACAGGAGCCCUAAUAAUGAGCAGCCUUUCGCCUUGCCUAGGAUCGGCGGCUCCAGAGACAGGAUUAGUUCUCCAGAGGGAAGUGGAGGGGGAGACAAAUGAAGUCAUUCUGUUUGUUCAAACCCAACUUGAGAGGGAAAAUUUUGGUUUUGACUCUUCACGAGGGUGAGAGUCACACCAUGGAACCACCGCAGCCACUUCACUGUAUUCCCCUCUGCUGGCGGCUGACCAUUAAGAGAUGGAGUGCUGCUGUCGCGACCAACUUGUGUUUGACCGAGUGAUGGAAGCAACUACACAGGAUCUCACUGAUGGCCUGACCUCGCUCGGACAGAGAAGCAUUUUCUCCUGGGUGCAGGCGGAGGAGGGCGCAUGAUUUUGUCGAGAGGCUGAGAUGAAAAGGCAGGAGAUGGAGAAUGUACAGAUUAGGAUCUCAUCAUCCUUGGGAUGUCAGCUGACCUCAAAAGGCAAAUGACAGCAGAGAGGUCAGAGGAUGGGAGAACCCAGGGAAGGUAACCAACCUCGAGAGAAUUCUCACUUGGAUAUUGAGCAGAUGAAGACAGUCUAGAUGGCCAUGAAAUAAGACAAAAACAGCAGAACUUUUUCCCGAAACCCUUGCCAAUAUGAAAGACCAGAACAUAUAACUACUAUAAUAACGGUGGCACAGAACAGUCUGCAUGUUUGAACAAAACGAAGAGCUUUUUCGUCCUGUUAUAUGAAACGUAUGAACUCAAUUAGCUUAGUACAAUUUUUAAAAAAGAGAGAGCUGUCAGUGAAAUUCAAAGCAUUAUAAAUGAUUUCCAUUUAUCAUUGUUGAUUACUUGUUAUCUAUGCCAAGGUGGCAUUUCUGGGUACUUUGCGUAGGAUCUAUUUACUUACUACAUAAUUAGGUAACCAACAAAUGCUUUCAGGUAAUGAGAGGAAACUCGGGAGUAAAAGACUUAAGAACAAAAAGAGAACUUAAUUCCUCCAAACAAGUUGUGGUAGGAACUCAAACAAUGAGGUUUAAAAUAACUGUUCUGCCAGGAACAGCCUGAGGCCAGAUGGCACCUGAAAUGGGCAUCUAUGCUCCUACUAACCAGAUUGUUUAUUCUGAACCUGCCAGCCCUCCCUCCACAGGCAACGACCAGGAUCAGGCUUCAAAUUGAGAAGGAAAAUGUCUGUAGGUGUAUUGGCAAAGUAUUUCCAGAUAAGUGCAUUUUUCCCCUCUGUCCUUGGAUGCCUACUAUCUUUAUUUUAGGCAAAGUGAAGGGUUUUCUUUCUGUGUUUUUUCUUGCAUUUAAAAAAAAAAAACACACACAUCUAAAAUGUAUGCUCACAAAUGCUCAUUGAAUUGCUGAUGCCAACGUUUGAAAUCAAAGGUACUUCCUUAAUUUAAAAUUAAGUGAUUAAGAUGAAUAAGGCAGUUUAAGUUCUUCUCUCAGAGGAUGCUGAAAGUAAGACUGGGACAAAGUUCUCUAAUAACUCUGCAAGAAAAUUAACGAAAAUAUAUCAAAGAAUUUGGUUAGCUAGUACUCAGGCACACACAUGUACAGUGUUAGCAGAAAUUACUUUAAAUUACUUUUAAUAGUGAUCCAUGGUGUGAAUGUGAUUAAUUUGGAGAUUUAAUUCUUGGUCUUUCGGGAGAUACUAACAGUUCAGCAGUAGAUUAUUCCAACAUGGUGGCUAAAAGAUUAAGGUGCACAAUGGGCGUAAAAUGCAUGGCAGUGUUUAUAGAACAAAACUGAGAAUUUGGAAGGAGGCUUAAAGAUCAUAGUCUAACCUCCUCUUCUGUGACAAAAUCAUUCUCCCAAGUCCCUGAUUGUAGGAACUUAGUUUCACUUAUAAAUUUUAGCAAUUAAAUCUAAUUUUCCACUAAAAUUUUCAAUGUGGUCUCCUUGAUUGGGAGAAGGAUGGACGGACAUAGACUGGGGCUGCACACCAGCCCUCGGAGAACUGGACACAACAGAGAGUGGGUGCAGGUCGUCUUCUCAAACUGCAUGGGAAGGCAACCAAACCAACUUCCUGGGUCUUUUUGAAUGGGGAGAAAUGACUCAUGAAUAGUGGCUCUGGAUGGCCACAACAUAAGAAACAAGGUUUUAGGAGUAAUUCCCAAGAGUGAUCGCUCUAGAACAGAGUGACAGACUGCAUACUGCCAGGCCACGCAGAGGUCACCCAGCCAAGGGCACGGCGACCCUGUGACCACCCAAAAAUGGACUGGGUAUGACUUUAUAGUCAUCUCACAUGCACACUCUUUAAAAAUAAAGGUCAAAACCUCAAUGCUGACUUUAAAUUCAUACAUCUCUUAUUCUAGCGAGAAUAGGCAUAUUUUUUAUUCCAAGGAGUCUCCUUCACUCAUUCAUUUAACAAACACGUAUUGGCGUCUACACCGAUGUAAUAGCGCUGCCGAAACCAGGUGAAUGCAGAGCGCACUGCCCAGUGAAUGAACACAAAACAUGCAUCAGUCACACACACCAGAAGGGGGCUCUAGGUAGGUCUGAUUGACGCACAGACCGU
Molecule: non-coding RNA, 3062 nt
Organism: Microcebus murinus (gray mouse lemur)
Lineage: Eukaryota; Metazoa; Chordata; Mammalia; Primates; Cheirogaleidae
Source: RefSeq, a predicted model, not a curated record